AUGUGCAUUGCAGGGCAACUACUCCGUUGGCAGAGGGAUGGAUUGGAUAUGGCUGAUGGCUUCCAUUUUAUCCCAUCUCUGUCUGCCAAAGGAGAUUUGCCCCGCGAUUCACCC
Oryza meridionalis is the source of this 114-nucleotide non-coding RNA. The record is from Rfam. Lineage: Eukaryota; Viridiplantae; Streptophyta; Magnoliopsida; Poales; Poaceae.